GGUUUAAUUCGAAGCAACGCGCAGAACCUUACCAGCCCUUGACAUCCCGAUCAGGAUUAUCAGAGAUGAUGAUUGUCGGUUCGGCCGGAUCGGUGACAGGUGCUGCAUGGCUGUCGUCAGCUCGUGUCGUGAGAUGUUGGGUUAAGUCCCGCAACGAGCGCAACCCUCGCCCUUAGUUGCCAUCAUUAAGUUGGGCACUCUAAGGGGACUGCCGGUGAUAAGCCGAGAGGAAGGUGGGGAUGACGUCAAGUCCUCAUGGCCCUUACGGGCUGGGCUACACACGUGCUACAAUGGUGGUGACAGUGGGCAGCGAGACCGCGAGGUCGAGCUAAUCUCCAAAAGCCAUCUCAGUUCGGAUUGCACUCUGCAACUCGAGUGCAUGAAGUUGGAAUCGCUAGUAAUCGUGGAUCAGCAUGCCACGGUGAAUACGUUCCCGGGCCUUGUACACACCGCCCGU
This 457-nucleotide ribosomal RNA is filed under the name uncultured Hyphomicrobiales bacterium. RNAcentral's name for it is "bacterial SSU rRNA". It matches the Rfam family "Bacterial small subunit ribosomal RNA", at positions 943 to 1397 of the family's 1533-position model. Lineage: Bacteria; Pseudomonadati; Pseudomonadota; Alphaproteobacteria; Hyphomicrobiales. The record is from RNAcentral.